GCUGUUCAUUUUUCAUGUCUUUGAGUUUCAAAUAUAGAUAUAACUUUUAUGACAUCCGUCUCGGUUUGUUCUCUUUUUUAUUUUAUACAGUUUAUGGACAAACUUGUGCGUCUGCCUCAAGAGUGAAGUGGUAGCAUGCGGGCUUAUAUAUGCGGCAACGUGCAGGUUUCAAAUUCCUAUUCUUGGUUAGUUAGUAUUCAAUGCUCAUCGGAAAGGGAUCAAUGAAAAUUUUAGAGUCCUCGCACAUUUGCGCUCUCUUCAAAAGGCACAAUACGUUUCAGUCUACCCAGGGCAAUAAUGAUUCUUUCUCGUCCAGAAAUAAGACACCAGACUCACAGCCUCAAGUUCCAAAGGAUUCUACAAAGAAUGCUAGGAUAAAGUUCAUCCUUGACAAAUAUCCGAAGUUGAGGAAAAUGGGCGAUCACUCUAAAUCUGAACAAGCUGACUUGCAUUCCAAAAAAGGUUAUAUAAGGAAUUUUAAUGCCUAUAUAAGGUAUAGUAAUCUAGUUUUUUAUUACUAUAUAAGGAAUUUUAAUAUUUUAAUUGAUUACAAUAUUUUGUUGUUUUAAA
Asparagus officinalis (garden asparagus) is the source of this 570-nucleotide long non-coding RNA. RefSeq lists it as uncharacterized. The transcript is spliced from 2 exons. The record is from RefSeq and is a predicted model, not a curated record. NCBI's taxonomy places the organism in Eukaryota, Viridiplantae, Streptophyta, Magnoliopsida, Asparagales, Asparagaceae.